This 305-nucleotide ribosomal RNA is filed under the name uncultured bacterium. RNAcentral's name for it is "bacterial SSU rRNA". It matches the Rfam family "Bacterial small subunit ribosomal RNA", at positions 337 to 634 of the family's 1533-position model. The record is from RNAcentral.
GCCUACGGGGGGCAGCAGUGGGGAAUAUUGCGCAAUGGGCGAAAGCCUGACGCAGCGGCGCCGCGUGAGGGAUGAAGGUCUUCGGAUCGUAAACCUCUGUCAGCAGGGAAGAACGGUCACUGUGCUAAUCAGCAGUGAAUUGACGGUACCUGCAAAGGAAGCACCGGCUAACUCCGUGCCAGCAGCCGCGGUAAUACGGAGGGUGCGAGCGUUAAUUGGAAUUACUGGGCGUAAAGCGCUCGUAGGCGGUAUGUCAAGUCAAGGGUGAAAUCCCCGCGCUCAACGUGGGAACUGCCUUUGAAACU